Molecule: unclassified non-coding RNA, 1522 nt
Filed under: Hevea brasiliensis (rubber tree)
Lineage: Eukaryota; Viridiplantae; Streptophyta; Magnoliopsida; Malpighiales; Euphorbiaceae
Source: RNAcentral
CGACUGCGUUGAUUGUGAUCUUCGCAUCUGGAGGUACUACCGUCCAAUUUCCGUAAUGUAUACCUAAACACGUGUGAUUAUUCAAUUUCUUGCUGAUUGAAUUUAUAUGGGUUGAUUUGGUUUGUGUUUUUUGAUCCAGUAAUUGGUUAGAUUAGAUCUGUUCUUGUCUCUGCAAGGAAUUGGGUUAUGCUUCUUUUACACUUUUCUUAAUUCCUGUUAGAGAUGUUUUAAGAGUUUUUGUUUUUGAAAAAUUUUUUAUGCUCUUGUCAUAGUAUACAUUUUGAUGUUGCGCCUUGCCUAAUGGUGAUUUUGAAAUGACUUCCCUUUAUAAGAGAAUUGGUGAAUAAUCAAGGCUGGAGUCUCGGAAAGGGCUCUUUUUGCCAAUACCCUGAAAUGGGUAUUUGGAAAGGAAUACCACUGAGCUUCGAGAUUUGGCAUAAUUUUUAUGCCAUAGGCCUUUGGUUGGGGAGUAUUUCAUUUCACUUACUGAGGUUUGGUGUUGAUAUCAAAUGAUUACAGGUCAAGGGUUGAUAUAAUUUCAUCUUUUUUAUUUAAAAAAAAAGAGUAAUUCGUCUUCAUUUAGUAAUGAAAUGAUAUAAUCUUUUGGUUUUGUAGCACUUUGAUGGUCCAUCUUAUUUUUUAAAAUUGAUUUUAAAAGUUGAAAUACAUAUGUUCCUUUUUGAGGAUUUCAUUCAGGUUUGAUUAAUUUGAUGGUCUCUCUUGAUUAUUUACAUUUAUCUUCUUAUUAUGCAAAUAUAGGAAAUUUUUGUCUCACUGCAUAGUUCUCCAAUGGAAUUGCCAAUUAUGUUUUUAAAAAAUUAAUUAUUAAAUAUUAAAAACUUGGCUUUCUGUUUGGGAAUUUUUAUCAUUUUAAUUGACUUGAAUGUUUCUCUUGUCUUGUAUCUGUGUUCAGUCAUGAUGAUUUUAUUAGAGAACUUUAUUUCAAUUUUCAGCUUCUUAUGUAAUAAUACCUGUUUUGAUUCUUUUGAUUGAGAGAAUAUGUUUUCUUUGGUUUUGUACACUCACGGACUGAUAAAUAAUAGUGUUUAAAAUGAACUACUAUCAUUUGAAAAAUAUGUUGCUUUCUGUUGUUAUGAAUUUUCUGUCUUUCAAGGAAAUAAGGUUGAAAUUCAUGAGUGUUGCAGUGUUAUCCUGAGGUUGAAGCAUGUCUCAUCGCAAAUUUGAACACCCCCGACAUGGCUCUUUGGGAUUUCUUCCUAGAAAGAGAGCCUCCCGCCACAGAGGAAAAGUGAAGGCAUUUCCCAAAGAUGAUCCAACAAAACCUUGCAGAUUGACUGCUUUUCUGGGUUACAAAGCAGGGAUGACUCACAUUGUUAGAGAAGUUGAAAAGCCAGGGUCAAAGCUCCACAAGAAAGAAACAUGUGAGGCAGUCACAAUCAUAGAAACCCCGCCUAUGGUGGUUGUUGGGGUUGUGGGUUAUAUGAAAACACCCCGUGGUCUCCGUUCACUGAACACUGUCUGGGCCCAACAUUUGAGUGAGGAAGUGAAGAGGAGAUUCUAC